UUCACAGUCCUGGGUAUUGAAAUCCUUCACUUAACCACAGAAUAGGCCUGGCCCCAGCAACAGUACUGCAAAGUUUCAUGCCUUGUCCUACCAAGUGUCCCUCAGUCCUUCUGGUGAGCACUUUAGGGCAUGAGAAUAGUUCAUUCUCCAUGUCUGUUCAAUCAUUGGGCUGUC
This 174-nucleotide small RNA is filed under the name Chelonoidis abingdonii (Abingdon island giant tortoise). RNAcentral describes it as "TUC338 (ENSCABG00000020168.1)". The record is from RNAcentral. Lineage: Eukaryota; Metazoa; Chordata; Testudines; Testudinidae.